Long non-coding RNA from Fukomys damarensis (Damara mole-rat), 878 nucleotides. RefSeq lists it as uncharacterized. Lineage: Eukaryota; Metazoa; Chordata; Mammalia; Rodentia; Bathyergidae. The record is from RefSeq and is a predicted model, not a curated record. The transcript is spliced from 4 exons.
UAUUCCCACAGCUCCUGGGCCUUUUCCACGCUGCCUGUCGCACGCUAUACCACACACUCUGGAGAUCAGGUGAAGAUACUCCAGUACCGGCCAAUGACACUCAGAAUUCAAAAGUCCUAUUUCCGAAGCCCAAAGCAACCUCGUAAUGGUGAAGACCAGCUUGCUCCCUGUGUACCUCAGAAAAGCGAACUUCAGCAUUAACUGUCACCUCCUACAACAAAAUCUACAACAAAACAGCCUCUUUCUCCUGCAACCGUGAGUCCAGUGGCUCUCAAGUGUGACGUAAGUGUACCAGUCUUUUACAGGUGCUUCUUGUUCUGCCAGCCAACUAGCAGCAGCCACCUUUCUUAAACACAGUCGAGUCUUUGACAGUUCUGAGGAAAUUGGCCAUUCAGGGAUCUGAUGAUUCAGCAAAGUGACUUCCAGCAAAUUAAGUCCUGUCCCUUCCUGAGAAAUCAGAUCGUUCAUUUCUGGAAAGGUCAAAUUCCAUGAGGUGUCCGUGCCACACUCAGGUGAGCAUAAAUGACAAGAAGGAGCUGGAGAGGGUAAGAAGGGAACGAAGGAACGUAGGCCCUCAGCUUCUCUUCCUGCCAGCCCUGACCGAGGCCAUCUCAGGGGAGGGGCUUAAUGAGUGCUAGACACACAUGGUGGGUGGAAUGGGGACUCCCGGGCUUGCAGACAUGGGGACGAGUGCUGUUGAGUCUCCAACCCUGCACGCAGAGGACAUAUGAUGUGUAGGUAUUGCUUCUUCAGCUUGGAUAGAGACCCUGGCCCUCUGCACCCCAUGGAAGAAAAGCAAUGGCUACGUGGGAAUGUGAAGUGCAACAGAGCUGCUAGGGAAUCGGAGGAAAGGGGUGAGGGUCUCAGCUGAAGUAUGA